This is a long non-coding RNA of Penaeus indicus, 1124 nucleotides long. RefSeq lists it as uncharacterized. The record is from RefSeq and is a predicted model, not a curated record. The transcript has 2 exons. NCBI's taxonomy places the organism in Eukaryota, Metazoa, Arthropoda, Malacostraca, Decapoda, Penaeidae.
CAAGGGAUGUGAAUUUAGAAUGACCCAAAAUUCGUCUAGAAACCCCCCUGUAUACACCUCACUUAGUCUUUAUGCAUAUAUAUUAUUUAAGUAUACCUCAGUUUUUUAGCUUUAAUUAUUUGAGAAAAAGGUACUUUAUUAUUUUCCUAGAAAGAUGAUAUUUUAUUUUAAUAGUUUUACAUGAAAUUAUAUAUAUUCCAAUAUUAUAUUUUUUCUAAGAUAAGAAAAUUGUAAAAUAUGAUAGUCUACCCUACAAAGUAUAAGCUUUUUUGUUACCCCCCCACCAUACAUUCUCUUUAUUUAAAGGGUACGCUAUUAUAUUUCAAUAGUAUUAUUAUAUUAAGGUUGUAUAAUUGAUAUUUUUGUAAAGAAAACCAUAUAUAUUAUUUUUGUUAAUGGAAGGAUUCAUUUAAGUUCUGAAAAUUAUGCAUGUAUAGAUUAAGAAGGACUGUAUAAGUGUAAUAUAUGUGAUCUGAGUAGACUUUAAAAUUCAAAGUAUAUACAGUGCUAAAUCCUGAAAACAUAGCUAUAAUCAUAGAGAGAGAGAUCGAGAUCAGAGAGGAGUGCCAUACAGCAGCCUGAAAGAGUAUUUGAUUAUCGUGAAAUAUCUGAGGUAAGAAAGAACAUUCCACUAUAAUAAUAUAAUUAAUAAAGUCAUGAACUACUGUACAAUUGAUUUACAGAAGAAAAGAAAGUAACUAUUUGAGAUUAAACUGUAAAUUAGAGAUAAAGAGUAUAUCUUCUUCACAGCUCGAGGCUGGCACAUGGCACAUGGCUCUUGAAUAACAUCCGAUGUGUCUCUCUUGUUUAUAAGAAUUUAAAACCCAUUCAAAGAGAGUGGGUUUUUUUUUUGUUUCUUUGUUUUGUUUUGUUUUAUUUUUUUAUGGUUUGUUUGGUUCUUCUGAAGUUGUGAUUUAUGCGUCCCUGGGGCUGUGAACCAGAAUGAAAGAGCCCAGGACAUUGAUGAAGACAAGGAAAGAAGACACCUGAGAAGAACCAGAAGAAUAAAAGUGACAGGUUGGAAUACAACCAAGUGGGACAUUUAUUUUUGUAGAUGAAAGUUUAUUUUACUGUAGAUGUGUAAUGAUAUUUAACUCAAUAUAUCAACAACAAGUGUAAACUUA